This 301-nucleotide ribosomal RNA is filed under the name uncultured bacterium. Its description in RNAcentral is "partial 16S ribosomal RNA". It matches the Rfam family "Bacterial small subunit ribosomal RNA", at positions 509 to 809 of the family's 1533-position model. The record is from RNAcentral.
CAGUCGCCGCGGUAAUACGAAGGGUGCAAGCGUUACUCGGAAUUACUGGGCGUAAAGCGCACGCAGGCGGUUUGUUAAGUCAGAUGUGAAAUCCCCGAGCUUAACUUGGGAACUGCAUUUGAAACUGGCAAGCUAGAGUCUUGUAGAGGGGGGUAGAAUUCCAGGUGUAGCGGUGAAAUGCGUAGAGAUCUGGAGGAAUACCGGUGGCGAAGGCGGCCCCCUGGACAAAGACUGACGCUCAGGUGCGAAAGCGUGGGGAGCAAACAGGAUUAGAUACCCGCGUAGUCCCUGUCUCUUAUAA